AAGUGUCGGCAACACACGGGGUUUUUGGCCCCCCCCCGGGGGGCCCCCGAAAAACCCAAAUUUUUUCGCCCCCCCCCCGGGGCCCUCCCUCCCCCCCGGGAGAUUGGGAACCCCCCAGAGGGAAAGAAGGGCUCCCCAAAGAAAGAAGAAAUUACCGGGAGUGCCCUUCUCACAGGUGGUUCGUCACGUCUGAUGUGAAACUCUGGGACUUAACCACAAACCUGCAUUCGAUACUGACAAGCUUUAAUAUGGGAAGGGAGUCUGGAAUUCCUGGUGUACCAGUGGAAUGCACAUAUAUAAGAACGAACACCAAUGGCGAAGGCAGGACUCUGGACCUUUACUGACACUGACGAACGAAAGCGUGGGAAACAAACUUGAUUACAUUCCCUGGAAGUCCACACCGUAGACGGUGGGCACUAUUUGUGGGAACCUUCCACAGUCUCUGCGACUCAUCUAA
Molecule: ribosomal RNA, 457 nt
Filed under: uncultured bacterium
Lineage: Bacteria
Description: partial 16S ribosomal RNA
Rfam family: Bacterial small subunit ribosomal RNA (bases 148-457)
Source: RNAcentral